Molecule: long non-coding RNA, 374 nt
Organism: Triticum dicoccoides
Lineage: Eukaryota; Viridiplantae; Streptophyta; Magnoliopsida; Poales; Poaceae
Exons: 3
Source: RefSeq, a predicted model, not a curated record
CCCCCUUUGUGAUGUUUUGGCAUCGCUCCUUCAUCGCACAUCCUCAGGUACGUCAAUUCACUUCCUUCCCUUCCCUUCGUCCCUCGGUCCCACGCUCGUGGCGCUGAAGUGGUGGCAACAGGCGAUGGCGGUGGUGUCGCUGAUGGCGGCGAGGACAGCAUGUGGCAGCUCCCGAAGCAUGAACACGACCGCACCUCGGGCCUGCCGUCUGCCAAGAUAUGGCUCUGGCCGAUUGACAAUGGAGGUUUGGGAUCCUUCCUCUCAGCACCCACUCCUGGAAGAAUCAGCGGUGCGCCACGCCGAUUGAACCCCGUCGAGAUCACUCGCCAAGAUUGCUAUUCUGAAGUUUAUUGUAAAGAAAGUGAAGAGUGAGA